Molecule: long non-coding RNA, 290 nt
Filed under: Mytilus galloprovincialis (Mediterranean mussel)
Lineage: Eukaryota; Metazoa; Mollusca; Bivalvia; Mytilida; Mytilidae
Source: RNAcentral
CCUUAAUAAAGUAUUUCGAAAAAUUAAUCAGAAAUAACACGAUGUUUUGAUUUAUAUCAAUUAUAUAAAUCAAAACAUAAAGGUUAUUCCUGAUUAAUUUUUCGAAUUAUUUUAUAAUUAAAGGCGUUGAGAAACCUUUGGUGACCCCACAGUUUAAAUGUCUAUCGUAGGUACGUCGUGAACAGUGGUCGUUACAGACAAACGUUCACGUAAAUUGUCCCAGUCAAUGGAUGAAUUUAAUGUGUCAAUCAAUGGCCACAGCCACACUGUUUUGAAUUUCAUUCUAAGAG